UGGCGAACGGGUGAGUAACACGUGGGUAACCUGCCCAUCAGAAGGGGAUAACACUUGGAAACAGGUGCUAAUACCGUAUAACACUAUUUUCCGCAUGGAAGAAAGUUGAAAGGCGCUUUUGCGUCACUGAUGGAUGGACCCGCGGUGCAUUAGCUAGUUGGUGAGGUAACGGCUCACCAAGGCAACGAUGCAUAGCCGACCUGAGAGGGUGAUCGGCCACACUGGGGACUGAGACACGGCCCAGACUCCUACGGGAGGCAGCAGUAGGGAAUCUUUCGGGCAAAUGGGACGAAAAGUCUGACCCGAGCAAACGCCGCGUGAAGUGAAGAAAGGUUUUUCGGGUUCGUAAAAACUUCUGG
RNAcentral lists this ribosomal RNA (359 nucleotides) under Enterococcus casseliflavus. Its description in RNAcentral is "bacterial SSU rRNA". It matches the Rfam family "Bacterial small subunit ribosomal RNA", at positions 96 to 436 of the family's 1533-position model. The record is from RNAcentral. Lineage: Bacteria; Bacillati; Bacillota; Bacilli; Lactobacillales; Enterococcaceae.